GACGAACGCUGGCGGCGUGCUUAACACAUGCAAGUCGAACGGAAAGGCCCUGCUUUUGUGGGGUGCUCGAGUGGCGAACGGGUGAGUAACACGUGAGUAACCUGCCCUCGACUUUGGGAUAACUUCAGGAAACUGGGGCUAAUACCGGAUAGGAGCUCCUGCUGCAUGGUGGGGGUUGGAAAGUUUCGGCGGUUGGGGGUGGACUCGCGGCUUAUCAGCUUGUUGGUGGGGUAGUGGCUUACCAAGGCUUUGACGGGUAGCCGGCCUGAGAGGGUGACCGGCCACAUUGGGACUGAGAUACGGCCCAGACUCCUACGGGAGGCAGCAGUGGGGAAUAUUGCACAAUGGGCGGAAGCCUGAUGCAGCAACGCCGCGUGCGGGAUGACGGCCUUCGGGUUGUAAACCGCUUUCGCCUGUGACGAAGCGUGAGUGACGGUAAUGGGUAAAGAAGCACCGGCUAACUACGUG
Molecule: ribosomal RNA, 468 nt
Filed under: uncultured bacterium
Lineage: Bacteria
Description: partial 16S ribosomal RNA
Rfam family: Bacterial small subunit ribosomal RNA
Source: RNAcentral